AUGGCUCUUGAAGCAGCGUACCACUACCUGCAGCGCGCCGUCGGCCAUGGCACAUCCACAGAAGCACUACUACUCACCGUUCUCCUGCUACUCAUCAUCCGAGUAGCAUGGGUAAGAGCCUUCACCACCACCACCGCAUCGACAAAAUGCAAGCAGCAGCUCCCGCCUACACCUCCAGGCAAGCUGCCCAUCAUCGGCCACCUCCACCUCAUCGGCUCCCACCCCCACGUAUCCUUCCGCGACCUCGCCGCAAAGCAUGGCCGCGACGGCCUCAUGCUCGUCCAUGUCGGUGCGGUGCCCACCGUGGUGGUGUCCACACCUCAGGCCGCCGAGGCCGUCCUGCGCACACACGACCACGUGUUCGCGUCCAGGCCACGUAACCCCGUCGCCGACAUCAUCCGCUACAACUCCACUGACAUCGCAUUCGCGCCCUACGGCGACUACUGGCGUAGGGCUAGGAAGGUCGUCAACACGCAUCUGCUCAGCGUCAAGAUGGUCUACUCCAAGCGCCAUGACCGCGAAGAGGAGGUGCGGCUCGUGGUCGCCAAGAUCUGUGAGUUGGCCAUGGCCGCUCCAGGCAAGGCGUUGGACAUGACGGAGCUCCUGGGCGGGUAUGCCAGCGACUUUGUGUGCCGUGCGGUCCUCGGAGAGUCCCACAGGAAGCAUGGCCGGAACGAGCUUUUCCGCGAGCUCACCGAGAUCAGCGCCUCCCUGCUGGGGGGAUUCAACCUGGAGGACUACUUCCCUAGGUUGGCAAACCUGGACGUGUUCCUCAGGGUGGUUUGCUCCAAGGCAAUGGGAGUCAGCAAGAGGUGGGACAACCUGUUUAACGAGCUCAUCGCCGAGUACGAACACGGCAAGGAAGAUAAUGCGGAAGACUUUGUACAUCUUUUGCUUUCUCUAAAGAAAGAGUACGGUCUGUCCACAGAUAACGUCAAGGCCAUCUUGGUGAACAUGUUUGAGGCAGCUAUAGAAACAUCAUUCCUGGUGCUGGAAUACUCCAUGGCCGAGCUCAUCAACAACAGGCACGUCAUGGCCAAAGUGCAGAAGGAGGUAAGGGAGUCCACACCCAAGGGCGAAAAGCUGGACCUGAUAAUGGAGGAGGACCUCAGCCGCAUGCCGUACCUCAAGGCGACCAUCAAGGAGGCAAUGCGCAUACACCCGCCGGCACCCUUCCUGCUCCCACACUUCUCCACCAACGACUGCGAGGUCAACGGAUACACCAUUCCCGCGGGGACACGUGUCAUUGUGAAUGCUUGGGCUCUUGCCAGAGACCCGUCGCACUGGGAGAGAGCGGAGGAGUUCUACCCGGAGAGGUUUCUCCAAGAAGGCCGUGAUGCAGAGGUCGACAUGUAUGGUAAAGAUAUCCGCUUUGUGCCUUUUGGUGCCGGGCGGAGGAUCUGCGCGGGAGCUACUUUCGCGAUCGCUACUGUUGAGGUAAUGCUGGCAAACCUCAUAUACCAUUUCGACUGGGAGCUUCCGAGUGAGAUGGAGGCCAUUGGCGCAAAGGUUGAUAUGACGGACCAGUUUGGGAUGACGCUUCGCCGAACGGAGAGGCUUCACCUUGUUCCCAAAAUUUACAAAUAA
This 1587-nucleotide ribosomal RNA is filed under the name Triticum aestivum (bread wheat). RNAcentral's name for it is "partial small subunit ribosomal RNA". Lineage: Eukaryota; Viridiplantae; Streptophyta; Magnoliopsida; Poales; Poaceae. The record is from RNAcentral.